RNAcentral lists this transfer RNA (90 nucleotides) under Pseudomonas putida. RNAcentral describes it as "tRNA-Ser". It matches the Rfam family "tRNA". Rfam says of the family: Transfer RNA (tRNA) molecules are approximately 80 nucleotides in length. Lineage: Bacteria; Pseudomonadati; Pseudomonadota; Gammaproteobacteria; Pseudomonadales; Pseudomonadaceae. The record is from RNAcentral.
GGGUUCUUGGCCGAGUGGCCUAAGGCAGCGGUCUUGAAAACCGCCGACGAUUUGCGUCGUCCAUCCGUUCGAAUCGGAUAGAACCCGCCA